GACGAACGCUGGCGGCGUGCUUAACACAUGCAAGUCGAACGGAAAGGCCCUGCUUUUGUGGGGUGCUCGAGUUGCGAACGGGUGAGUAACACGUGAGUAACCUGCCCUUGACUUUGGGAUAACUUCAGGAAACUUGGGCUAAUACCGGAUAGGAUCUCCUGCUUCAUGGUGGGGGUUGGAUAGUUUCGGCGGUUGGGGAUGGACUCGCGGCUUAUCAGCUUGUUGGUGGGGUAGUGGCUUACCAAGGCCUUGACGGGUAGCCGGCCUGAGAGGGUGACCGGCGACAUUGGGAAUGAGAAACGGCACAGACUCCUACGGGAGGCAGCAGUGGGGAAUAGUGAACAAUGGGCGGAAGGCUGAUGCAGCAACGACGAGUGCGGGAUGACGGACUUAGGGUUGUAAACCGCUUUCGCCUGUGACGAAGCGUGAGUGACGGUAAAGGGUAAAGAAGAACCGGCUAACUACGUG
This 468-nucleotide ribosomal RNA is filed under the name uncultured bacterium. RNAcentral describes it as "partial 16S ribosomal RNA". It matches the Rfam family "Bacterial small subunit ribosomal RNA", at positions 28 to 507 of the family's 1533-position model. The record is from RNAcentral.